GAAAGGCCGUUAUUCGCCAGAAGCGGCUGGGUGUUUACCGAGGCACCCCAAUUAGG
Molecule: non-coding RNA, 56 nt
Filed under: unclassified sequences
Description: S4-Clostridia ribosomal protein leader
Rfam family: S4-Clostridia ribosomal protein leader
Source: RNAcentral